Long non-coding RNA from Xyrauchen texanus (razorback sucker), 723 nucleotides. RefSeq lists it as uncharacterized. Lineage: Eukaryota; Metazoa; Chordata; Actinopteri; Cypriniformes; Catostomidae. The record is from RefSeq and is a predicted model, not a curated record. The transcript is spliced from 4 exons.
CUGACUGCGCUCCAACUCGACUAAUAAAUCACGGGCAAAUAGUUAUAACGUGCCGUCGCUGGCGUUGUGACAGACAAACCCUCUCUGCAGAGAUAUAACGGAACUCCUGCCAUGUGUUCAGUAUGUGCGGAAUACAUAAAGGCUCUACCUUGAAUUAACCACUCGCUCUUUAAUGGAUCUUUGAGGAUCGCGAUUGACGCAGUGACGAGCUGCAGCUCUUUGUAUUACAAGGCCAAGAGGAAAUUUGUAAUUUUGUCUUCCCCCGUCCGAUACCUACAGUCUCUAAGAAAAUGUAAAGGGGGUUCAUGGUGACAUAGGGACCCUGGUUUUGGUUACGGAGAGACUGCAAGGCUCUUGCUUCGCUGUGCGAAAGAGAUCCAUAUCUAUCAGCUCCUCCCACUCAUGCACACUAAGCUUAUCUGACUCAUCACCACGAUAGACUGGGGGCUCUUUUACUUCACUCUGCACAACUAGCUUCACUCCAGUCCGGUUAAGUGAAGGGAAAGUCCAACUACUGAUGGUGGAUCUCAGACAUGCAUGUGAUCACUUGAGAGUUUAACCGGAACAGCCAGGGGAGCACCUCUGGGCACAUAAAUGAGACUAAAAUGGUGAAAGAGAAGAAGAGACAAGAGGAUGAAAGCCAUCAACAAUGCUAUGCCUUGGGGAAAUAAACACAUGCAAUUGGUGAAGCACUAAGACCCAGCCCUAGCAGUCCACUAUAGU